AGCGAACGCUGGCGGCAGGCUUAACACAUGCAAGUCGAGCGGUCACUUUCGGGUGUCAGCGGCGGACGGGUGCGUAACGCGUGGGAACGUGCCCUCUGGUUCGGAAUAACUCAGGGAAACUUGAGCUAAUACCGGGUACGCCCUUUUGGGGAAAGGCUUUCUGGCGGAGGAUCGGGCCGCGUCUGAUUUGCUAGUUGGUGAGGUAACGGCUCACCAAGGCGACGAUCAGUAGCUGGUCUGAGAGGAUGAUCAGGCACACUGGGACUGAGACACGGCCCAGACUCCUACGGGAGGCAGCAGUGGGGAAUAUUGGACAAUGGGCGCAAGCCUGAUCCAGCCAUGCCGCGUGAGUGAUGAAGGCCUUAGGGUUGUAAAGCUCUUUUAUCCGGGACGAUAAUGACGGUACCGGAGGAAUAAGCCCCGGCUAACUUCGUG
This 435-nucleotide ribosomal RNA is filed under the name uncultured bacterium. RNAcentral describes it as "partial 16S ribosomal RNA". It matches the Rfam family "Bacterial small subunit ribosomal RNA", at positions 29 to 507 of the family's 1533-position model. The record is from RNAcentral.